This is a non-coding RNA of Caenorhabditis elegans, 220 nucleotides long. Lineage: Eukaryota; Metazoa; Nematoda; Chromadorea; Rhabditida; Rhabditidae. The record is from Ensembl.
GACGGAAGUAACAAUUGAAUGAGUAAGUGUUGAACAGAUCCGAAACUGGUCCCAUUGUUCGAAUGAAAAGAUCUAUGUAAACUUUUGUUGGUUUUCCAGCUAUAAAUAAAUGUGAAUAAUUUGAAUUAAACAUUUUAUAAAAGUUACAGUUAAACCCGGGUCGGAAAUGUUGAUCGUAAUUUUUCAAAACAUUAUUGAGAAGAUGUGUGACGUUUUGAGC